Molecule: long non-coding RNA, 24713 nt
Filed under: Vitis vinifera (wine grape)
Lineage: Eukaryota; Viridiplantae; Streptophyta; Magnoliopsida; Vitales; Vitaceae
Description: long non-coding RNA (VVIN_LNC004343)
Source: RNAcentral
AGACCCUUCCCAAACGCUGCCUGUCCCAAGCCGCCUUCUUCUCUCUUGCUUCCUGCCAGGCUACCACUGCUCCCACAUAGCUGAGAGAGAUGCUAUGAAUGGGAGCAAGCUUCCCUUUUUUAUAGACCUCAAGGGAAGUUCUUCAAUUGCGGUUUGGGAGUUGGAUGGCAACUAACAUUGGUGAACAUAGGCGGCAGUGGUGGUGCUGACUUCAAUCUUCCAGCGUUUCCGGCGAGGCGGUGGUGGUGGUGGAGAGGGCAUAGGGUGCUGUUCCUGUUAAAAUCUAAUCCAAGUGGAGUUGGCUAAUGGUAUUAUUUGUUGACAUUCCCAGUGAUUUACAGAGUGUUUUUGAUGGUUGGUGUCUUAAUUGAUUUUUCCUUGGAAAAGAAAUUGUCUGCUUUGCUGAGAGUUGAUGCCUUUGGAGCAUCUCUGGUCUCACCCGCUUUAGAGCCCUUCUUUUCUUUACCACCCCCAGCAGCAAAUGUCCUGCAGCCCAGCACCCUGACUGCCUCCCCUGUGAUGAUGAAACUUCUCAUUGAUUUUAUGCAGUUCAUUGCCAUGUCUUUUCCCUGCAAAAAUAUUUUACAAAAUCAUCAAUAGUUCAAGGUUCAAUUUCAACGUAACAUGCUUCCUUUAAUACCCCAUAUCCACCACUUUGUAAUACGCCACUGCUAUACUCUACAAUGCGGCAAUAGACUACAAAUCCCUUUAAUGAGUUGGGCAAAGCAGUAGGGACUCAAGCAGUAGUCUCUCUACCAGUGCAUCACCAUUCCAACAACACAACCAAUUGUGGUCUUCAAAUCUAGCAUAUCUUGCAAUGUUCAUCUAUCGCAUCCUUCCCUAGAGGCAGAUUUGUCUGUCCCUUAAAUCUAUUAGGGUUGGUGAUUGUGCACAGCUGCAGCGAAUUUCAGAGGAGAUGUUUCACCACAAUAAUAAUGCUCUUGAAGAUUUGAACAUCUUGGGGUAUCCCAAUCUCAGAAUCAUACCAGAUUGCCUCUACAACCUCAAAGAUCUUCAGAUCGGAAAAUGUGAGAAUCUGGAGCUGCAGCCUCAUCAAUUGCAAGGCCUCACUUAUCUUACUUCACUCAAGAUCACUAAUUGUGAGAAUAUCAAGAUGCCCUUAUCAGAAUGGGGCCUUGCCAGGUCGACCUCUCUUAAAACUCUCACCAUUUCUGAUUAUCACCACCACCACUCAUUGCUUCUUCCUACUACUCUAGCUGAGCUUUUCAUUUCAAGCUUCAAGAAUCUGUAAUCCUUGGCUUUCCUGUCUCUCCAAAGGCUCACCUCUCUUAAAAGGCUAUGCAUCUCCAGUUGUCCUAAUCUCCAGGGCUGUUUAACAUGCUUUCAGAACUAUUUAUAACAUAUUGACCACUCCUAAUUCAAAGGUGCUCAAAAGAGAAACGGGAAGAUUGGCCCAAGAUUGCCCACAUCCCCUAUGUGAAAAUAGAUGACAGAUUGAUCCUUUAGCAAUAAGGAGUUGAGAUUGCAGCAAAAUGUACGCAGAGACCAUUCCACUAUAUAUAUAUAUAUAUAUAUAUAUAUAUAUAUAUAUAUAUGCUUGGUAUUUUUUCUUCAGUGUGCCACAAUUCCUUUUUGUGCACAUUGGAUGUGAAGGAGAAAAUAAUGCAAAUGGAAUCCAAUUCUCUAACCAGAGGUUCAGCCAAUCAAAUUGAGUAUACUCUAUUUCAUUCAUAUCUUUUUUGACUUUAUGCAUUUCAAUUGCGUUGUCCUCAAGAAGCAUUCUUUUCUCAUAUAUCUCUAUAUAAAGUUCCGCAUUUUUUUUCCUUACGUGUUCAUAGAUAUGCAUUUAUCAACUUAGGCCAUGUUCUUAAUGCUUUUAAACCUAUGAUUUCACAUUUUCCCAUCACAGGAUUGGACCAUAUCUUUAUAAUUUUCCAUUAAUCAUCAUCUUUGUUCAACUCAAAGGUUUUUCAAGUGAGUAAUAAAGACUACAAAUGGUUAGAUAUCACUUUUUUCUUUGUCCUCUUGAUUGCCAUGCUUCUCUAUUUGGAAUUGGAUUCUUCUGUUUGUAACUUAUUUUUCGUUACAUUUUUAAUUGCAUUCCUUCUUACAAUAAUUCAGGAUUGACCUUUUCUCAAAAAUAAUUGUUCUUCUUCUUAGUCUCCUCUUCAGUUAAUGUAAGCAUCAAAUUUCUAUCUCUUUGUUAUAUAUGUCUUCCUUUUUCUCAUUACAUAUACAUGAGGAAGAUUUUUUGACUUCCAUUAUAAGUUUUCAAUAACUAUGUUUGCAUUUCUUUUUAUUUCAAGGAGAUUCAGGGGUGAAAAUUCUUUUGCAUUUGUCUUGACAUUUGGCGCUUAAAACUCUACAAUGGUGUUUGGUGUUGAAAAAGGGGUACUUCAUUGCAGAAUAAUGAAAGUGUAAAUAGUUCUUUACCAUCAAAAAAGGCUUCAUGGUUGUUAAGAUCCAUCUAAUUCCUUGUCCUUUUCUUGACAUGUUGUUCAAUUUGUGGAAGAUGUGGGAGGAGAGCUUGAAUCAAAUUAAGCCAACUCCUUGCAAAAGACGAAUUCUUGCUAAGAAACCUCACCACUCGCAAGUUCUUUCUUAUCCAAGAAUUCUACAGCAGGUAAUUCGAGAUUAUGUCUCAUCUUUCUAUUUCUUCAUGCUGGUGCACUCACUGAUUUCACUCGUGUUUUCAUCUGAUGGUGACCAACUCUUCCUCUUCUACACGCCAUUAUGUGAUAAUAAUCAGACCUCUCUGUCUUGCUUGAGUUCAAGCAGAGCUUUCUGAUUGGUCAGCAUGCUUCUGAUGAUCCUUCUGCUUAUCCGAAAGUUGCAGCUUGGAAAUCUGAAGGAGAUGGUAGUGACUGCUGCUCAUGGGAUGUCUUAAGAGUGUGACAAGGACACUGGCCAUGUGAUCCGCCUUAACCUUGGCAGCAGCUGUCCCUAUGGUUCUAUCAACUUCAGCAGCGCCUUCUUCCACCUUGUGCAUCUUCAAGGGCAUGAUCUCUCUAAUAAUGAUUUCAAUUACUCUAUGAUCCCAUCAGGAGUUGUCCAGCUUUUGAGUCUUAAGAAGUCUAAAUGACACCUCUCCUGGAUUCUCCGGCCAAAUCCCAUUGGAUUUCUUUGCACUGUCCAAACUGAUUGUCCUUGAUCUCUCACAAAAUCCAUUGAAGCACCAGUAACCUGACCUUGCUUCAGAUUCAGGGGUGAGAAGCAUUUCCUCCUUGUAAUACAAAAUGCUUUUGGGAAGCUGGUUGUAGCAUUCCUGGUGAAUGGUGUUUUGCUCUGUCAACUUGGUACACUUUCAGACUUGUUCUCUUGCAUAUCGUUGGACCAGCAUAAUAAUAAUAAUAAUAAUAAUAAUAAUAAUAAUAAAAUAAAAUAAAAUAUAAAUAUAAAUAUAAAGCUCAUUUAUGAAAAAGACUUAUUUUUCAAAAAAAAUUUCAAAAAAAAGUGGACGAAUUUAAUUUACAUUCCUUUUAUUAGACCCCAAUCAACUUAAGGGAAAAAGGCAAGCUUGAGUAUAACUCUUUUAAGUUAAAAAGAAGGAUUUGAAAGAAAAUCUCAUAUUGUUUGGUUGCGCUUAAAUUUGUUUUUAGAUUUAUUUUAAAAUUUUGAUAUAAAACUAAAAAAAAAUAUAGGAAUAAUUUAGAGUUGUUUAGAUGCAUCUCUUAUUUUUUUUAUUUUAAAUUAAAAAGAAUAAAAGUUUUUAUAUAAUAUAUACAAGAAUUUUUAGAAAAUUAAAUUAAAAAAUUAAUUGCCUUAAAAACUGUUUAAAAAUUUAAUGCAUAUUUUUUUCUUUUUCUUUUUUCAUAUUUUAAUAUUUUUUUAAAGUAAUUUAAAAAAAUAUAAGAGAAAUUUAUGUAUAUGUUUUUUAUAAGGUGUUUCUACUUUUAUAUAGAUAUUUAUAAUUUUUUUAAAAUAGAAAAUAUACUAAAAGGGUUACGUAGCCUUUUAUUUUAAAUACUUUUAAAAAAUAUUUAUGUUUAAAACCAUCAAAACGGCACCUUAGUGCGGAGCUCCGAUAAUUGUGAAAGGCUGCCACGGCUGCCAUGCUCUGCUUUUUCCUCAGGGCCCAUGACGGCAAAAUCCUACCGUUUAUGGAAAAAAAUAGGGUUGCUCUGCUUUUUCUUCAGUCGUGGGCCAUGACCGCAAUUGGAAUCCUACCUUUAAUAGAAAAAAGUAUAGGUUCCUUUUAUAGAAAAAAAAAGAGGGUUUUUUUAAUUCUAGAAAUUAAAUAACUUAAAUUAAUAAAUUAUAUAAUUUUAUAUUUUAUUUAUAUAUAAUAUUUAUUUAUUAUUAUAUUUAUCAAUUUAUAAAAUAAUAUAAAAUUUUUAAAUUUAAAUAUAUAAUUUUUUAUUAUUAAAAUAUAUUUUUUUAAUUUCAAUAAUAAUCUGUAAUUUAAUAUUUUUAAUUAAAAUUUAAAGAAAAAUAAGAAUUAAUUAAAACACAAUCGAGGCUUAGCUUAAAAAUGAACUCUCAUUGUAAAUUUCGAUUUAAUUUAAAAAUAAAGUUUUCGAUUAAGGUUUCAACUUAAAUUAAAAAAUAAAAAAUAAAAACUUUUAUGACAUGGCUCCGUGGCAAUGAAGGGGUAGGUGGGGGUUAUAAGUGACAUUUCAUUUUAUAAAAGGGUUAUUUUUUGCCCCAAAACUCCCUGUUUGAUUGCUGAAGCCUACACGAUUUGAUUUGCCCUUCCAGAACACCAUGGAAGUUGUUGGAGAGGCUCUUCUUUCCACUGCCCUCGGCUUGCUGUUUGACAAGUUGGCUUCCUCUGAUCUUAUUAAGUUCGCCCGGCAGGAGGAUGUCCACACCGAACUCAAGAAAUGGGAGAAGGAGUUGCAGAGCAUCCGGCAAGAGCUCAACGACGCGGAGGAGAAGCAGAUCACAGAUGAGGCUGUCAAAUUAUGGCUGUUUGAUCUGAGGGUUUUGGCGUAUGAUAUGGAGGAUGUCUUGGACGAGUUUGCUUACGAAUUGAUGAGAAGAAAGCUGAUGGGGGCGGAAGUUGAUGAAGCCAGCACAAGCAUGGUACGCAAGUUCAUUCCUACGUGCUGCACUAGUUUCAGUCCAACUCAUGUUGUGCGUAAUGUCAAGAUGGGGUCUAAGAUUAGAGGGAUCACAAGCAGAUUGCAAGACAUUUCAGCUAGAAAAGCUGGACUUGGCCUGGAAAAGGCGGCAGGAGGAGCUACUUCCGCUUGGCAAAGGCCACCACCCACUACACCUAUAGCAUACGAACCUGGCGUUUAUGGCAGGGAUGAAGAUAAAAAAGCGAUUCUUGAUUUGCUGCGCAAGGUUGGGCCCAAGGAAAACAGUGUUGGCGUCAUUUCCAUUGUUGGCAUGGGCGGUCUGGGCAAGACAACACUUGCACGACUGGUUUACAACGAUGAAAUGGCCAAAAAUUUUGACCUAAAAGCGUGGGUUUGUGUGUCUGACGUGUUUGAUGUGGAGAAUAUAACAAAAGCAAUUCUCAAUUCGGUGGAAAGUUCUGAUGCAAGCGGCUCGUUGGACUUCCAACAAGUUCAAAAGAAAUUGACAGACGAGUUGACAGGGAAAAAGUUUUUACUCAUUCUAGACGAUGUGUGGAACGAAGAUUCUGAUAAUUGGGAUCGAUUGCGUGCCCCUUUGAGUGUAGGGGCAAAAGGAAGCAAAGUCAUAGUUACAACACGCAAUAAAAAUGUUGCUUUGAUGAUGGGAGCUGCCGAGAAUCUUCAUGAACUAAACCCCUUGUCAGAAGACGCUUGUUGGUCUGUGUUUGAGAAGCACGCAUUUGAACAUAUAAAUAUGGAAGAUCAUCCAAACUUGGUGUCCAUUGGGAGGAAAAUUGUUGGCAAGUGUGGGGGAUUGCCCCUAGCAGCAAAAGCCCUUGGUGGUCUCUUACGCUCUAAACAGAGGGAAGAAGAAUGGGAAAGAGUAUCGAAUAGCAAAAUUUGGGAUUUUUCAAGCACGGAAUGUGAGAUUCUUCCUGCGUUGCGGUUGAGCUAUCACUAUCUCCCGUCAUAUUUGAAGAGGUGUUUUGCAUACUGUGCCAUGUUCCGCAACGACUAUGAGUUUGACUCAAAAACUUUGGUCCUCCUGUGGAUGGCUGAAGGUUUAAUUCAGCAACCAAUCGCUGACAACCGCACAAUGGAAGAUCUAGGAGACGACAAUUUUUGUGAAUUAUUGUCAAGGUCAUUUUUUCAAUCAUCAGGUAUCGAUGAAUUCCGUUUUGUGAUGCAUGAUCUUAUCUGUGAUCUAGCUCGAGUUGCUUCUGGUGAAAUAUGCUUUUGUUUGGAAGAUAACUUGGAAAGUAAUCGACAAUCCACAAUUUCCAAAGAGACUCGUCAUUUAUCAUUCAUUCGUGGAAAAUUCGAUGUGUUAAAGAAAUUUGAAGCCUUUCAAGAGUUAGAACAUUUACGAACAUUUGUGGCUUUACCAAUUCAUGGUACGUUUACAGAAUCUUUUGUAACUAGUUUGGUGUGUGAUCAUUUGGUGCCAAAAUUUCAACAGUUAAGAGUCCUCUCUUUGAGUGAAUAUGUGAUAUUUGAGCUACCAGAUUCUAUUGGUGGAUUAAAACAUCUACGUUAUUUGAAUUUGUCUUUCACCCAAAUCAAAUUAUUGCCAGAUUCAGUGACCAAUCUCUAUAAUUUACAAACAUUGAUACUAUCCAAUUGCAAGCAUCUUACAAGGUUGCCUUCCAACAUUGGAAAUUUAAUUAGCCUUAGACAUCUCGAUGUUGUUGGAUGUUCAUUGCAAGAGAUGCCACAGCAAAUAGGCAAAUUAAAGAAAUUGCAAACCUUGUCAGAUUUUAUUGUGGCCAAACGAGGAUUUUUGGGAAUAAAGGAGUUGAAGGAUUUGUCAAAUCUGCGGGGGAAGAUAUGCAUUUCAAAAUUGGAAAAUGUUGUGGAUGUUCAAGAUGCUAGAGAUGCCAAUCUAAACACUAAGCUCAAUGUUGAAAACUUGAGUAUGAUUUGGAGUAAAGAAUUGGUUGAUUCACAUAAUGAAGACACUGAAAUGGAAGUCCUCCUCUCUCUACAACCUCAUACCAAUCUGAAGGAACUCAGGAUUGAAUAUUAUGGUGGUCGAAAAUUCCCAAACUGGAUGUGUGAUCCCUCUUACACUAAAUUGGUUGCGUUAAGUCUUAUUGGUUGUAUAAGAUGCAUAUCACUACCUUCCGUUGGGCAACUACCCCUCCUCAAGAAGUUAGUCAUCAAAAAAAUGGAUGGAGUGAAAAGUGUGGGACUGGAGUUUGAGGGUCAAGUUUCUCUUCAUGCUACGCCUUUCCAAUGCUUAGAGUCUUUGUGGUUUGAGGAUAUGAAGGGAUGGGAAGAGUGGUGUUGGUCAACAAAGUCAUUUUCUCGCCUCCGUCAGUUGGAGAUAAAAAAUUGUCCAAGAUUGAUUAAGAAAUUACCCACACACCUAACUUCUCUAGUAAAGCUCAAUAUUGAGAAUUGCCCAGAAAUGAUGGUUCCACUUCCAACAGACUUGCCUUCUCUUGAAGAGCUCAAUAUUUAUUAUUGCCCAGAAAUGACACCACAAUUUGACAACCAUGAAUUUCUCAUUAUGCCACAGAGGGGAGCGAGUAGAAGCGCAAUUGACAUCACCUCACAUAUUUAUUUGGAAGUUAGUGGAAUAUCAGGACUUUCCAGACUUCAGCCGGAGUUUAUGCAGUCCCUGCCGAGGCUUGAACUUCUAGAAAUUGACAAUUCUGGUCAGUUGCAAUGUUUGUGGCUGGAUGGGUUGGGAUUAGGGAACCUCUCUCUUCUUCGAAUAUUGGGUUGUAACCAACUUGUAUCCUUGGGAGAGGAGGAAGAGCAAGGGCUGCCUUACAAUCUUCAGCGUUUGGAAAUAUCUAAGUGUGAUAAGUUGGAGAAGCUUCCACGUGGAUUACAAAUCUAUACAUCUCUUGCAGAGUUGAUCAUUGAGGAUUGCCCAAAACUGGUGUCAUUUCCAGAGAAGGGUUUCCCGCUCAUGCUUAGAGGUCUUUCUAUUUGUAAUUGUGAAAGUCUAAGUAGUCUACCUGAUAGGAUGAUGAUGAGAAACAGCAGCAACAACGUGUGUCACCUUGAAUACUUGGAGAUAGAGGAGUGUCCAUCUCUUAUUUGCUUCCCAAAAGGGCGGUUACCCACCACCCUUAGGCGACUAUUCAUAUCCAAUUGUGAAAAUCUAGUGUCUCUUCCAGAAGACAUCCAUGUGUGUGCCCUUGAACAGUUAAUUAUAGAGAGGUGUCCAUCUCUCAUUGGUUUUCCAAAAGGUAAGCUACCCCCCACUCUCAAGAAGCUUUAUAUACGGGGGUGUGAAAAGCUAGAGUCUCUACCAGAGGGAAUAAUGCAUCACCAUUCCAACAACACAGCCAAUUGUGGUCUUCAAAUCUUGGAUAUCUCACAAUGUUCAUCUCUCGCAUCCUUUCCUACUGGCAAGUUUCCCUCUACCCUUAAAUCUAUUACGAUCGAUAAUUGUGCACAGUUGCAGCCAAUUUCGGAGGAGAUGUUUCACUGUAAUAAUAAUGAACUUGAAAAGUUGUCCAUCUCGAGACACCCUAAUCUCAAAACCAUACCAGAUUGCCUCUACAAUCUCAAAGAUCUUCGGAUUGAAAAAUGUGAGAAUCUGGACUUGCAGCCUCAUCUAUUGCGAAACCUCACUUCUCUUGCAUCACUUCAGAUCACUAAUUGUGAGAAUAUCAAAGUGCCCUUAUCAGAAUGGGGCCUUGCCAGAUUGACCUCUCUUAGAACUCUUACCAUUGGUGGCAUAUUUCCAGAAGCCACCUCCUUUUCUAAUCACCACCACCACUUGUUUCUUCUUCCUACUACUCUAGUUGAGCUUUGCAUUUCACGUUUCCAGAAUCUGGAAUCCUUGGCCUUCCUGUCUCUCCAAACGCUCACCUCUCUUAGAAAGCUAGAUGUCUUCCGAUGUCCUAAGCUCCAGUCUUUUAUGCCAAGGGAAGGGCUGCCUGACAUGCUUUCAGAACUGUAUAUAAGAGACUGCCCACUCCUAAUUCAAAGGUGCUCAAAAGAGAAAGGGGAAGAUUGGCCAAAGAUUGCCCACAUCCCCUGUGUGAAAAUAGAUGACAAAUUGAUACUUGAGCAAUAAGAAGUUGAGAUGGCAGCAAAAUGAAUGCAGAGACCACCACUAUAUAUAUGUGUGCUUGGUAUUUUUCUUCAAUCUGCCAUAAUUCAUUGUGUCAUUUGUUUAAUUAUUGUUCCAAAUUUAUUUGUUUAAUUGAAUUGUCUCACAUGUCUUGCACAGUUGAAACUCAUCCAACGGAAAAAACUCUCCUUCACCAAUCACUGGUUUGCCAUCCAUGCUAUAAAGUCUCAUGCUUGAUGGUAAUGAAGGCUAAAAAAUCAGUAUCUCAUUGACAGAAGAAGAAGAAGAAGAAGAAGAAGAAGAAGAAGAAGAACAGAUUUAAUCUGUAUUUACAAUUGGAGGGCUUGGGAUCCCCUGCUCUACUCUGCUAUCCAAAAAUGUAAGCUGGACACCUUGCUUAAGAAGAUGCACAUGUGAAGUUUGCUUAAGCAGAUACACAUGUGAAGUUCUACAAAUCUAUAUGCUCCAGAUAAGGGACCAAUUCAUGAAGACACUAAUGGUAACAAGACUAUAUGCUCUGCCUUAAUCACCCUAUCAUAGAUAUGAGUGAUCCAUCACCCUUAAUCACAUUAUGAUUUUUUGUUGCAGAAACUGGAGUCAAUGUUUGCAAAAAAAUUGCAGAUAAAACUUACUUGAAAGCUUUUGUAGUUGUUUGAGUCAGAACUUUAUCUGGAGCCUCAUGACAUGCCUGUCGUUGGAUUGCAUAUCUAUGCAACACGCAUAGGCUAUCAAUUCCCUUUCUAUUGGAAUCAAGUAUGCCCAUUCAUUAUACGUAACUUUUUUCUUCUUAAGAAUUAUUUUCAAAAUGUUCAUUUUAAAGGAAUUCCAUUUCGUGCAUGUAGGGUGUGAAGGAGAAAAUAAUGCAAAUGGAAUCCAAUUCUCUAAUCACAGGGUCAGCCAGUUAAAGUGAGUAUACUCUAUUUCAUUCAUGAUCUUUUUUUACUUUGUGCAUUUCAAUUGCAUUGUCCUCAAGAAGCUUUCUUUUCCCAUACAUCUCUAUAUAAAGUUCUGCCUUUUUUUUUUCUUACGUAUUCAUAGAUGUACAUUUAUCAACAUAGGCCGUGUUCUUAAUGCUUUUAAACCUAUGAUUUCACAUUUUUCCAUCACGGGAUUCUUCCAUGUCUUUAUAAUUUUCCAUUUAUCAAUAUGAUCUUUGUUCAACUUACAGGUUUUUCAAGUGAGUGACAAAGAAUACAAAUGCUUAGAUAUCACUUUUUUCUUUGUCCUCUUGAUUGCACUGCAUCUUUAUUUGGAAUUGGAUAUUUCUCUUUGUAACUUGUUUUUCUUGUUAAUUACAUUCCUUCUUACAAUAAUUCAGGAUUGGCCUUUUCUCAAAAAUAAUUUUUCUUCUUCUUGGUCUUCUCCUCAGUUAAUGUAAGCAUCAAAUUUGUACGUCUUUGUUAAAUCUGUAGAUAAUUUUCUGGUUGAAUUGUAAACCACACUUAAAUAAAUCAAAGUUGCAGAAAUCUUGCUGGAUCACAAUUUACAAUCUUAUGUGGAUUCCAAAGAAAGAAAAUAUGCAACUUGGGAUUCAAUGAGCUAUGAUCAUUCUUACAUAACUAAAUCCCCCUUCAUUUGUAUCAUAUGUUCUGAUGGCAUUUCCUUUUUCUCAUUACAUAUACAUGAGGAAGAUUUUAUGACUUCCGUAAUAACUAUCUUUGCAUUUCAUUUUAUUUCAAGUAGAUUCAGGGGUAAAAAUUCUUUUGCAUGUGUCUUGACGUUUGGCACUUAAAACUCUACAAUGGUGUUUGGUGUUGAAAGAGGGGUACUUCAUUGCAGAAUAAUGAAAGCAUAAAUAGUUCUUUACUAUCAAUAGAAACUUCAUGGUUGUUAAGAUGCAUCUAAUUCUUUGUCCUUUUCUUGGCAUGUUCUUCGAUUUGUGGAAGACGUGGGAGGGAGAGCUUGAAUCAAAUUAAGCCAACUCCAUGCAAAAGAUGAAUUCUGGCUAUGAAACCUCACCACUCACAAGUUCUUUCUUAUCCAAGAAUUCUACAGUAGGUAAUUCGAGAUUACGUCUCAUCUUUGUAUCUCUUCGUGCUGAUGCACUCACUGAUUUCACUCUCGUGUUUUCAUCUGAUGGUGACCAACUCUUCCUCUUCUAUGCAGCCAUUAUGUGAUAAUAAGCUGAGCUCUGUCUUGCUUCAGUUCAAGCAGAGCUUUCUGAUUGAUCAGCAUGCUUCUGAUGAUCCUUCUGCUUCUCCAAAAGUUGCAGCUUGGAAAUGUGAAUGUGAAGGUAGUGAUUGCUGCUCAUGGGAUGUUGUAGAGUGUGACAGGGACACUGGCCAUGUGAUCGGCCUUAACCUUGGCAGCACCUGCCUCUAUGGUUCUACCAACUCCAGGAGCGCCCUCUUCCACCUUGUGCAUCUUCACAGGCUUGAUCUCUCUGAUAAUGAUUUCAGUUACUUUAAGAUCCUAUCUGGAGUUGUCCAGCUUUUGAGUCUAAGAAGUCUAAACCACUUGUCUUCCAGAUUCUCCGGCCAAAUCCCAUUGGAGCUCUUAGUGCUGUCUAAACUGGUUGUCCUUGAUCUCUCACAAAAUCCAUUGAAGCGCUAGUAACCUGACCUGGCUUCUGAUGCAGGGGUCAGAAGCAUUUCCUUGUUGUAGCAUUUGGGAAGCUGGUUGUAGCAUUCCUGGUGAACGGUGAUUUCUCCUGUCAAUUUGGUACACUUUCAGACUUGAUCUCUUGCAUAUCAUUGGAGAACCUUUAUCUUUUUUCUUUUUCCUCAAUAUUUUGUUUUUAGAAAGAUUUUAACUAAAAGUAUUGUGCAAUUUCAUUUGAAAAAAAUUUCAAAUCCUUUUCUAUGUGAAAUUAUGGAUCUUUAGUGUUCUGCAGACCCCUAAUAUUAGGAAUAUGGUGGUUUAUGUUGGCAUACAUGAUUUUCUCUUUAAAUCCUUGAACCCAGUGUACCAAUAUCCUAAACAUUUCUUUUUCUUUACAGAUAUAUGCUGGAAAUAUGAUAGGGUGAUGAAGGCCAAGGAACCACUUCGGUGUUGGUUUGGAGAUCAAUCACUGAAAGGUUCAGAUGAUUUCUUUUUCUAGUUUCUUCCAAUUUAGGGUAGAUUAAGAGGUAUCCUUAUGGUAGCAAAUUCUUCUGACCUAAAGCUUAAGUGAUCCUUUAGUGAAACAAAACAUAAUCCAGGAACAUUCCCUCCUUCAGUCACUGUUGCUAGCCUUCAGGAAGCUGAGCAUUUACAGAAAUAAAUAAAUAAAUGGUACCCUGCUUUCCAUAGCAACCAUGUUAGACUAAGAUUUUUUCAUUGACUUCUACGGGUGGCUUAUGCUGAGAAGUAAAAGUCAUUAAUCAGGGCAGGUUCCUUUUUGGGGUUUCUGUGAAGGAUGGAUAGACCUGAACUUGAGCAUUUUUGACUGAAGAUGAUGAAUCAAGACUGGAAUCUACUUCCAUUUUUGACAACCUGAGAAGGUAACAUUUUUCAAGCAAUGGCAUAAAAAAUCUGUGGUGUUGGUCUACCUUCCUAAACGAAAUAUUUUGUGAUGAAAGUAGAUUACUACUUGUUCUUUUUUUCUGCCAACAAAACUGAUGUGCUGGAUUGGAGUUGAGGAUUUUUUUUAAUUCCCUCAUUCAUAUUUGUUUGAGUGUAUUUGUGAUUCAUUCUUGAAUGAUUCUCUUCCCCUUUUACCUGAGUUUACCAAUAUGUUAGACCCUUCUAGGGAACAUGUUCAUACCCUGGGUUGUGGAUGAUUAAAAAAACUAGGUCAUCUUGGCAUAUGAUUGUAAAAAUUUUUUUAAAUGAAACCAUGUCAGAUCUUAUAUCCCUAAAAUAAUCUUGUAUUUGCAACUAAAGUUGCCUCAUUUUGAACAUUGUGAGUAAAAUGGGCUUGUUUCAGUUUUUAGAACAAAGAUGAAGGACCUUCAUUCCAUGGAUCCCUCAAUCAAACCCUAAGUUUUCUUAAAGAUGAGGUUUAUAGUGGAUGAGAGGAGGGGUAAUGAUUUCAAAAUGUUCUGCCUGCUUGGAGCCAUUUUAUGCUUCCCUCUGUUUUUUACACUUUUUUGAAGCUGAAACUGACAGUGUAAAGAAAUUUAUCUGAUUAGAAUGUCUCCUUCCUCUUUUGUUUAAUCUAAUCUUUUGUGUCUUGUCAUAUAUAUAUAUAUAUAUUCAGUUCACGGUUGAAGUAAUGUAAAUCACUGAGUGCUGGCUUGCUGCACACAGAUACAUGUUUUCUGGUAAAUUUGGAAGGAUCACAAUGUAAUACCGCAUAAUGUCAAGAAGUAAUAUCUGUCCUAUGCAUGUACAUUUUAGUGUCAAUCAUUUCUCAGUAGCAUCUAGGAUUCUUACUUGAUGGUUAAAAAGGUUCACAUUUCAGUUGUCUUGUGGAUCAUGGUUUUGGAAGCUAGUCACAACCCAAAAGCUGGAGUGCUUCAUCUAUAUAUGUCCCCGGUGAAAUCCCAAUUCCCAAACAGGUCAUUGUAUAUUGUAUGCCUAUCCUAGAGUUCUAUCAGAUGGGUGGAAUGCCAAUCAUGAAGAAGUAUAAAAACAGGGCUUUCAUAUGUAUAUGGGUUACAACCUGCUGUUCUAUCAGACAAGUAGUGAUCCAAUAGUCCAGUGGAAGGUGGUUGCUGAGAAUGAAUAUGGAAGAGAGAAUUUAUAGAAAAUUUGAAGUUCAAAAACUUUGAGGACCAGAUUACCUGUAGAACCUGAGAAAAGGGCAUAUCAAACCACACUCAAAACAGGUGAAAUAUUAUUUGUCUGAUGAUGUUGACUUGAGACAUUGCUGGAGUAUUGAGGGUCAUUCAUUGAAUUCUUAAAGUAAAACACAAGCAAGUUUUGCCUAUAUCAUUGGAUUUGUUGUUCAUUUUAUUUAUCACAAAGCUACCUUUUAUUGUCAACUAAUCAUUUACUUUUAAUCGGAAAUUCAUUUUGUUUUUUUAGUAGCGAGGAAUUUUCUAUCGUCAAGUCCUUAGAACUCUUGUUGGAGACCCAAAUAUCAUAAUACUGACCGCCCUGCAACAACCAGCGUCUGGUUUUGAGAAUCUUGUGCUCUAUAACUUUGUGUUGGCGUGGCCGAUAUUCUGGUAUUCCAAGUUGAAUUGUAUAAAUACAAAUUAAGAAUCGAUGCGAGCAUUGUGGAAGUGGCGCAGAUGGUAGUGUUGGAGCCAUGGAGGUGAUGUUAGCACUUAAGAGUAGUAUGAUAGUCGUACAGGUGUAAAACAACAAAAUUGAUGCUUCCAAAAAUAAUAAUUCUUAGCUUUAUUGAAAAGCAAUUUUAUAGAUUAGUUAUAUGUAUGUAUUUAGAAUGCCUUUGAUAGUCAUUCAAGUAAAUGUUAUUUUAGCAUUUAUAACACUUCAAAAUUUUCAUCAUUCAAGUAUUAAAAACACUUUGAUGUGAAACACAUUCUUAAUAAGAGAUGAAAUUUGAGAGAAAAUGGGUUUUGAUUUCUUAAUUUGAAAAAUAUAGAAAAAACAAUUUCAACUUUUAUAAACCAGUUUUAUUUUCAUUAAUUUAAAAAUAUUUUAAAAUAUGUACAUUUUUUCAUAACUCAAAUAGUUAUUUCUUGAAAUACCCUUUUACUUGAUGAUAUUAGAUAAAAUUAUCCAAAAUUAGUUAUUAUUUUAAUUUAAUAAAAGUGUUUUACAAAUAAAUAUAUUAUAAAAUUUUUAUUAUAUAAUAUAAGAUACAAAUUAUUAUAAAAAAGAUUUCUAGGAUACUCAAGUGAUAAAUAAAAUCUUUACAAUUUUUUAGUUAAUAACGAUUUUAUAUCAUGUAUUAUAUAAAUUCUCUCAUCUUCUCAUUUUAUUUAAUAAAAUUGAAUAAAAAUUUUGUUAGUUGAUAUGAAUAAUAAAAUAAGAAAUUUUAAAAAUUAAAAAUACAUUUAAAACUAAAAUGCAUAAAAAUUAAAUACAAACACACCUUAAAAAUUAAAAACGAAAAGAUUUACUUUUAUUAGAUUUUCAACUCUUGAUAUUUAUAUUUUCUAUCAAAGUGUUUUGAUUAAGUGAAUGUUAAUAUUUUAAUUUUAUAUUUUUAACUUUAAUUGUAUUUUUAAUUUUAAAAUUUUCUUUUUUUAUUAAUCUUAAAUAAGUUCUUAGGGUAAAAAAAGUUGUUAAUUUGUGUUAUUAAUAUAUAAGAGGGUCAUUUCAAGAAUUAAUUAUUUCUUGAUUAACAAAUUUUCUCCAUAAAAAUUAUAAUACUCUUCAAAAAUUUAAAAUCUGAAAAGUUUGUUACUCCAAUUUUUUUUAAAUAGAAAAUAUAUUAAAAGGGUUAUUUAGCUUUUUAUUUUAAAUACUUUAAAACAAAAUUUUAAAAUAAAAGUUAAAUGUGUUUAAUAUUUAUAAAUUUUUUUUUAAAAUACAUAUUUAUGUUUAAAACCAUCCAAACGGCACCUUAGUGCGGAGCUGCAAUAAUUGUGAAAGGCUGUCAUGGAUGCCAUGCUCUGCUUUUUCUUCAGCCGUGGCCAUGACGGCCAUUGGAAUCCUACGCGUUGACCCCUUUGACUCUCUGAUUGCUGAAGUCUUCGCACCACACAACCACUUUCACUUGUUUCCAUCUUCCCUUCUCUACUCUCAGCUCUUUGUUUGCCUUUGCUGAACACCAUGGAAGUUGUUGGAGAGGCUCUUCUUUCCGCUGCCUUUGGCUCGUUGUUUGACAAGUUGGGUUCCUCUGAUCUGAUUAAGUUCGCACGGCAGGAGGAUGUCCACACCGAGCUCGAGAAAUGGGAGAAGGAGUUGCAGAGCAUCCGGCAAGAGGUCAACGACGCGGAGGAGAAGCAGAUCACACAGGAGGCUGUCAAAUCAUGGCUGUUCGAUCUGAGGGUUUUGGCGUAUGAUAUGGAUGACAUCUUGGACGAGUUUGCUUACGAAUUGAUGAGGACAAAGCUGAUGGGGGCUGAAGCUGAUGAAGCCAGCACAAGCAAGAAACGCAAGUUCAUUCCUACCUUCUCUACUAGUUUCAGUCCAACUCAUGUUGUGCGUGAUGUUAAGUUGGGGUCCAAGAUUAGAGAGAUCACCAGCAGAUUACAACAUAUUUCAGCUAGAAAAGCUGGACUUGGACUGGAAAAGGCGGCAGGAGGAGCUACUUCUGCUUGGCAAAGGCCACCACCCACUACACCUAUAGCAUACGAACCUGGGGUUUAUGGCAGGGAUGAAGAUAAAAAAGUGCUUCUUGAUUUGCUGCACAAGGUUGAGCCCAAUGAAACCAAUGUUGGCGUCAUUUCCAUUGUUGGCAUGGGCUGGCUGGGCAAGACAACGCUUGCACGGCUGGUUUACAAUGAUGAAAUGGCCAAAAAUUUUGAUCUAAAAGCGUGGGUUUGUGUAUCUGAUGUGUUCGAUGUGGAGAAUAUAACAAAAGCAAUUCUCAAUUCGGUGGAAAGUUCUGAUGCAAGUGGCUCGUUGGACUUCCAACAAGUUCAAAAGAAAUUAGCAGACGCAUUGACAGGGAAAAAGUUUUUACUCAUUCUAGACGAUGUGUGGAACGAAGAUUCUGGUAAUUGGAACAGCUUGCGCGCCCCUUUUAGUGUAGGGGCAAAAGGAAGCAAAGUCAUGGUCACAACACGCAAUAAAGGAGUUGCAUUGAUGAUGGGAGCUGAGAAGAAUGUUUAUGAACUAAAAACUUUAUCAGAAGAUGCCUGCUGGUCAGUGUUUGAGAAGCAUGCGUUUGAACAUAGAAAUAUCGAUGAACAUCCAAACCUGGUGUCUAUUGGUAGGAAAAUUGUCAACAAGUGUGGCGGAUUGCCACUGGCGGCAACAACGCUUGGUGGCCUUUUACGCUCUAAACGAAGGGAAGAUGAAUGGGAAAAAAUAUUAAGUAGUAAAAUAUGGGGAUGGUCAGGCACAGAACCUGAGAUUCUCCCUGCGUUGCGAUUGAGUUAUCACUAUCUCCCUUCACAUUUGAAGAGGUGUUUUGCUUACUGUGCAAUGUUCCCCAAGGACUAUGAGUUCGACUCCAAAAAUUUGGUCCUUCUGUGGAUGGCCGAAGGUUUGAUUCAACAACCAAAAGGUGGUAGACAUACAAUGGAAGAUUUAGGCGAUGACUAUUUUUGCGAGUUAUUGUCAAGAUCAUUCUUUCAAUCAUCGAGUAAUCAUGAAUCACAUUUUGUGAUGCAUGAUCUUAUUCAUGACCUAGCUCAAGGUGUUGCUGGAGAAAUAUGUUUUUGUUUGGAAGAUGAGUUGGAGUGUAACCGGCAAUCCACAAUUUCCAAAGAGACUCGUCAUUCAUCAUUUGUUCGUAGAGAUGGGGAUGUGCUAAAAAAAUUUGAAGCUUUUCAAGAGGUAAAGCAUUUACGGACAUUUGUUGCUUUAAAUAUUCAUUGGGCGUCUACAAAAUCUUAUGUAACUAGUUUGGUGUGUAAUCAUCUAGUGCCAAAAUUUCAACGACUAAGAGUUCUCUCUCUGAGUCAAUACAAUAUUUUUGAGCUACCAGAUUCUAUUUGUGAAUUGAAACAUCUACGCUAUUUGAAUCUGUCCUACACCAAAAUAAGAUCUUUGCCUGACUCAGUGGGCAAUCUCUAUAAUUUACAAACAUUGAUGUUAUCCUUUUGUAUGCAUCUUACGAGGUUACCUCCCAACAUUGGAAACUUAAUUAAUCUUCGACAUCUCAGUGUUGUUGGAUGUUCAUUGCAAGAGAUGCCACAACAAAUAGGCAAAUUAAAGAACCUGCAAACAUUGUCUGAUUUUAUUGUGGGCAAAAGUGGAUUUUUGGGAAUAAAGGAGUUGAAGCAUUUAUCACAUCUCCGAGGGAAGAUUCGUAUUUCACAAUUGAAAAAUGUGGUGAAUAUUCAAGAUGCCAUAGAUGCCAAUCUAAGGACUAAGCUCAAUGUUGAAGAGUUGAUUAUGCAUUGGAGUAAAGAGUUCGAUGAUUUGCGAAAUGAAGACACCAAAAUGGAAGUCCUCCUCUCUCUACAACCUCAUACUAGUUUGAAGAAACUCAAUAUUGAAGGCUUCGGUGGUCGGCAAUUCCCCAACUGGAUAUGUGAUCCCUCUUACUCUAAAUUGGCGGAGUUAAGUCUCUAUGGUUGUAUAAGGUGCACAUCACUGCCUUCAGUUGGGCAACUACCCUUCCUAAAGAGGUUGUUCAUCGAAGGAAUGGAUGGAGUGAGAAGAGUGGGGCUGGAGUUUGAGGGGCAGGUUUCUCUUUAUGCUAAGCCUUUCCAAUGCUUGGAGUCUUUAUGUUUUGAAAAUAUGAAGGAAUGGAAAGAGUGGUCAUGGUCAAGAGAGUCAUUCUCUCGCCUCCUCCAGUUGGAGAUAAAAGAUUGUCCAAGACUGAGUAAGAAAUUACCCACUCACCUAACUUCUCUAGUAAGACUUGAAAUUAACAAUUGCCCAGAAACGAUGGUUCCACUUCCAACACAUCUGCCUUCUCUUAAAGAGCUCAAUAUUUAUUAUUGCCCAAAAAUGAUGCCUCUAUGGUCCUCUUUUGCAUUUGACCCUUUUAUAUCAGUGAAGAGAGGGAGUAGAAGUGCAACUGACAUCACCUCAGGUAUUUAUUUAAGAAUUAAUGGAAUGUCAGGGCUUUCUAGACUCGAGCAAAAGUUUUUGCGGUCUUUGCCAAGGCUUCAACUUCUGGAAAUUGACAAUUCUGGUGCUCUGGAAUGUUUGUGGGAAAAUGGGUUGGGAUUAGGAAACCUUGCUAGUCUUCGAGUAUCGGGUUGUAACCAACUUGUAUCCUUGGGAGAGGAGGAAGUGCAAGGGCUGCCUUGCAAUAUUCAAUAUUUGGAGAUAUGUAAGUGUGAUAACUUGGAGAAGCUUCCACAUGGAUUACAAAGCUAUGCAUCUCUUACAGAGUUGAUUAUCAAGGAUUGUUCAAAAUUGGUGUCAUUUCCAGACAAGGGUUUCCCGCUCAUGCUUAGACGUCUUACUAUUUCUAAUUGUCAGAGUCUAAGUAGCCUACCUGAUAGCAGUAAUUGCUGCAGCAGCGUGUGUGCCCUUGAAUACUUGAAAAUAGAGGAGUGUCCUUCUCUCAUUUGCUUUCCAAAAGGGCAGUUACCCACCACCCUUAAGGAACUGUAUGUAUCCGUUUGUAAAAAUCUGAAGUCUCUUCCAGAAGACAUCGAGGUUUGUGCCCUUGAACACAUAGAUAUAAGGUGGUGUUCGUCUCUCAUUGGUUUUCCAAAAGGAAAGCUACCAUCAACUCUCAAGAAUCUCACGAUAGGAGGGUGUAAAAAGCUAGAGUCUUUACCAGAGGGAAUAAUGCAUCACCAUUCCAACCACACAACCAAUUGUGGUCUUCAAUUCUUGGAUAUCUCGAAAUGUCCAUCUCUCACAUCCUUCCCUAGAGGCAGAUUUCUCUCUACCCUUAAAUCUAUAAGGAUUUGUGAUUGUGCACAGCUGCAGCCAAUUUUGGAGGAGAUGUUUCACCGCAAUAAUAAUGCACUUGAAGUUUUGUCCAUCUGGGGAUAUCCCAAUCUCAAAACUAUACCAGAUUGCCUCUACAACCUCAAACAUCUUCAGAUCAGAAAAUGUGAGAAUCUGGAGUUGCAGCCUUGUCAAUUGCAAAGCCUCACUUCUCUCACAUCACUUGAGAUGACUGAUUGUGAGAAUAUCAAGACCAUACCAGAUUGCUUCUACAACCUCAGAGAUCUUCGGAUCUAUAAAUGUGAGAAUCUGGAGUUGCAGCCUCAUCAAUUGCAAAGCCUCACUUCUCUUGCAACACUCGAGAUCAUUAAUUGUGAGAAUAUCAAGACACCCUUAUCAGAAUGGGGCCUUGCCAGAUUGACCUCCCUUAAAACUCUCAUCAUUUCUGAUUAUCACCACCACCACCACCACCACCACCCAUUCCUUCUUCCUACUACUGUAGUUGAGCUUUGCAUUUCAAGCUUCAAGAAUCUGGACUCCUUGGCCUUCCUAUCUCUCCAAAGGCUCACCUCUCUUAAAAGUCUAUGUAUCUCCCGAUGUCCUAAUCUCCAGUCGUUUUUGCCAACGGAAGGGCUGUCUGACACGCUUUCAGAACUAUCUAUAAAUGGUUGCCCACUCCUGAUUCAAAGGUGCUUAAAAGAGAAAGGGGAAGAUUGGCCUAAGAUUGCCCACAUCCCCUAUGUGAAAAUAGAUGGCCAAUUGAUCUUUGAGCAAUAAAAAGUUGAGAUUGCAGCAAAAUGAAUGCAGAGACCAUUCCACUAUAUCCUCUCCUUAUGUGCCACUAUUCGUUGUAAGUGUCAUUUGUUUUAUUGUCCCACAUUUAUUUUGUGAUGCAUUCCUGUACUCAAGUUAAUGGUUUCAUCUCUGUUAUUGAGAGUUACCUUCUAUUCUGUUUAUUAGGUUAUGGAGAUGUGAUAAAUAUGUAGAUUUGGCAAUUUCAUCUUCACUUGUAAGUUUCUUUAAUUGUGCCAUUUUGUUGAAUUUGAAUACUAACCUUUUUUUUCUUUUUAUAACUCAAUUAUUUUGAUUUUUUCAGUUUUCGACAAUUUGUCUCACUUUUGUUUAGUUGUUAAAUACUUCAACUGAUUUAUUUUAUUUUCCUGGUUUUGAUGAUCAUUUUUCUAAAGUUUUCUACUUUCAUGCUUGUUAUGUUUUAUAGAUACCUGCUAGAAGGGGCCUUUAGUUUCUUGACCUUUCUUAGUAGUCACUCCAAUUGCAGAAACUGGAGUCGACUUAAGCAAAAGAUUUGCAGAUAAAACUUACUGGAGGCUCUCACAUCUGUAUGAGUCAACUUUAUCAGGGGCCUCAUCUCAUGUGUGUCAUUAGAUUGCAUAUCCACACAAUAUGCAUAGGCUAUCCAUUCCCUUUCUUUUAAAAUCAAGCAUGCCUAGUCAUUGUAGAUAAUUUUUUCCUUGUUCGGAAUUCGUUUCAAAAUUUUCAUCUUAAAGGAAUUUCUUUUCAUGCAUGUAGGAUAUGAAGGUGAAAAUAAUGCAAAUGGAAUCCAAUUCUCUAACCACAGGGUCAGCCAGUUAAAGUGAGUAUACUUUAUUUCAUUAAUGAUCUUUUUUGACUCCUUGCAUUUCAAUUGCAUUGUCCUCAAGUAGCAUUCUUAUCUGACAUAUCUCUAAAUAAAGUUCUCCAUUUUUUCCCCUAAAUAUUCAUAGAUAUGCAUCUAUUAACUUAGGCCAUGUUCUUAAGGCUUUAUAGACCUAUGAUUUAUCAACCUAUGAUUUCAUGUUUCUCCAUCACAGUAUUGGAUCAUGUUUUUAUAAUUUUUCAUUUGUCAACAUGAUCUUUAUUCAACUUACAGGCUUUUCAAGUCAGUAAUAAAUAAUAUCUCCGAUUGAAAUGCUUCAUUUUCUAGGAAUAUCUCUGAUUUUAACUACAUUUCCUUUUACAAUAAUUCAGGAUUGGCUUUUGCUCUAAAAUAUCGAUUCUUCAUUUUGGUCUCCUUCACAGUCAAUGUAAUCAUCACUAUUUCUACAUCUUUGUUGUCUUUGUAAAUAAUUUUCUAGCUCGAAUUGUAUAACAUACUUAUUCAAGUCAAAGCUGCAGAAGUCCUGGCCCACAAAUUACCAUCUCAUGUGGACUCAGGAGAAAGGAAAUCCGCACGUUGAAAUACAGUGAGCUAUGCUAAUUCUUACAUAUUCAAAACCUUUUUAUUUGUAAAGCAUAUUCUGAUGGCAUUUCAAUAUUUAUGUAUUCAUUUCAUUUUAUUUUAAAUUUUUAAGUAGAUUCAGGGGUCAAAAUAGUUACCAUUGGCUUCAGAAUUGAACUUCAACUUCUGAGGAGCAUUCCCUUGUUGUAACACAAAAUGCUUUUGGAAGCUGGUUAUAGAAUUCCUGGGGAAUGGUGAUUUUCCCUAUUAAUUUGAUACACUUUUUGACUCAUUCUCCAGCAUAUUAUUGGAGAACCUAUUUUUUCCCCUCAAUCUAUUACUUCUAGGAAGAUUUUAACUCAAGUUGUUGCAUGGUUUCAUUUGAAAAAAUUGUCAAAUCCUCUUUUAUGUGAAGUUAUGGAUCUUUAAUUAGUGUUUUGCAGACCCCUAAUAUUAGGAUUUCUCUUUAAAUCCUUGAACCCAAUGUACCAUCUCAAACAUUUACAGAUGAAUGCUGGAAAUUGGAUAGGCUGAUGAAGGCCAAAGAACCAAUUUGGGGUAGAUUUGGAGAUCAAUCACUCAAUGGUUCAGAUGAUUUCUUUUUCUAGUUUCAUUUGAUUUAGAGUAGAUUCAGAGGCUAUACUCAUAGUAAUAAAUACACAGUACCCUGCUUUUCAUGGUGAUCAUGUUAGACUAAGAUUUUUUAUCAAUCUCUACAUGUGGCUUAUGCCAAGAAGUGAAAGCCAUUACUCAUGGCAGGUUACGUUCUGGGGCUUGUGAAGGAUGGAUGGACCUGAACUUAAGCAUUUUUUACUGAAGAUGAUGAAUGGAGACUUGAAUCUGCCCUAUUUCACCAAGCAACAGCAUAAAAAAUUAUGUAAGGUUUGUCAACUCGUCAAUAUAUCCUAAACUAAAUAUUGUGUGAUGGAAGUGGAUUGUGACAGCUUGCUCUUUGGGAUGGAGUUAAGGAUUUUUUUAUUCCCCCAUUCAUCUUUGUUUGAGCGUAUUUGUGAUUCAUUCUUAAGUUGUUUCCUUUCCUUUUUAUCUGAGUUUGCCAAUAUGUUCAUUCUAAAAUAUCUUGGCAUGCCUUAAAACUACCUCUAAGGGAACAUGUUCAUACCCCGGAUUGUGGCAAUCAAAAAAAGGGUCUAUCUUGGUAUAUGAUGGUAAAAAAAUGAAAUUCUUUCAUUUCUUGUAGCCUUAAAAUGAUCUUCUAUUUGCUACUAAAGUAGUCUUAUUUUGAGUGUUGUGUGUAUAAUGGACUUGUUGCGUUUUUAAAACUCAGUGGAAGUACCUUUAUUCCUUGGAGCCCCCAAUCUAUGGCUUAUAUUGGGUGAGAGGAGGAGUAUGAUUUUGGUAUGCUCUGCUUGUUUGGUGCCAUUUUAUGCUUCCCCCCAAAUUUUUUACACUUUGUGAAGCAAGUGACAGUGUACAGAAGUUUAUCUGAUUAGAAUUUUGCCUAUAUAUAUGUUUCUGUUCAUGGAUAAUGAAAAUGUAAAUCACUGAAUGCUGGCUUGCUUCCCGUAGAUACAUCCCUGUCGCUAAAGCUAAACAAAGGUUGUGUUUUCCCCUAAACUCAGAAAGGUUCAGAUUUCAAUCUUGUCUUGUAGCUGAUGCUUUUGGAAGCUCCUCAAACCCGAAAUUUUGAGUGCUUCAUCUGUAUGUAUCAUCUGUGAACUCCUGAACAGUUUGUUAUAAGAUAUGCCUAUCCUAGAGUUCUAUCAAAUGGGUGGAAAGCUAAUUACAAAGAAAUAUGGACAGGGUUUUCACAUGUAUGGUUUACAUCCUGCCAGUUCAAUUGGCCAACAAAUGAUCCAUUAGUCCAGAGGAAGAUCAUUGCUGACAAUGAAAAUGGAAGAGAGCAUCAAUAGAAGUUUUGAUGGACUUGAAUGAAGUUCAAAAAACUUGAGGACCAGAUCACCUGUAGAACUUCUGGGAAGCGCAUAUCAACCACACUCCACAAGUGAAACGUUACUUUUCCGAUGAUGUUUCAAGAUUUCAGACUCAAGGCAUUGCUGGAGUAUUGAGGAUCAUUCAUUGAAUUCUGAAUGUAAGACACAAGCAAGUUUUGUUUACACAGGUUAAUGUUGAUAAAUUUUCAUAGUAGGGUAGUUGAGAUCAUGGUUCCUGAAUAUGUUGUUCAUUGUAUUCAUCUCAAGUGACCGAACAAGGGUACCUUUUAUCGUUAAGAAAUGCAUGUCCAGAUAUUCUUCCCUCCAAAUAUGAAUGGUACUUUCUGGUUUUAUAAUCAAUACAAGGUGUGGAAGUGAAAUUGAUUAUGCUAAUGCAUGAACUUCAGUAGCCAGAUAAACCACCAUUGACAGCCAUUGGAGUCCCAUGUCUCUAACUUUCACUUCAUCUCAAGUUGCUUACUCAGCUUUCACACACAGCAAACCAUUAAUUCUUUCUGCUUCGCCUUUUUACAGCAUCCUUUAGAUUCCCACUCUCUUUCUCCUAAGAAACCAUGCAAGUUGUUGAGGUUGUUCUUUCUGGUUCCUUUCAAGUGCUGUUUGGCAAGCUGGGUUCCUCUGAUUUGUGGAAGUUUGCACACCAAGAGCAAGUCCAAACGGAGCUCAAAAAAUGGCAGAAAGACACUGGAAAAUCCAUGCAGUUCUAAAAUGGUGCCAAGAGAAGCAGCUGAAUCAACUAUGCUUUACCUGGAAAGUACUGAGAAAUAGAGAAGAAAUAUUAAGAAAAAUAAUUUAUAAUGAAAAAUAUGUUUAUAUAUUUUUAAAUUAUUUAAUUUUUAUAUAAAAAUAAAUAAAAAUUGCAGAGAUCUGAGGCAUCCUUUCUCUGUAAUUCAUCAACAAACUAUUACAGAUUGAGCUUCAAAAAUAUUUCACACAAAAUUAUUAUAGAUGUGGUUACAACUUACAAAUAUUUGAUAUGAAAUACAGAAAGCCCAAAACCAACAGCCUAUAGUAGAACACAGUUAUUACACUAAGCCCAACAAGCCCAAUGAACCCUAGUUUACUUAUUUGCGUCCAACAGCCCAUCAACAGCCCUUGGCUUCAGACCCUUCCCAAAAGCUGCCUACCCCAAGCCGCCUUCUUCUCUAUUGCUUCCUGCCAGGCUACCACUGCUCCCACAGCUGAGAGAGAUGCUGUGAAUGGGAGCAAGCUUCCCUUUUUUAUAGACCUCAAGGGAAGUUCUUCAAUUGCGGUUUGGGUGUUGGGUGGCAACUAACAUCGAUGAACAUAGGCGGCAGUGGUGGUGCUGACUUCAAUCUUCCAGCGUUUCCGGCGAGUCGGUGGUGGUGGUGGUGGUGGAGAGGGCAUAGGGUGAC